GAAUUUUGUCCGGGAAUAAUUUUGUGUUAAAAAAAAUUAAAAAAAAUGCAUUUUGACCCCUGUACUUUUUGAAAUUUACAUUUUGACCCUGUACUUUUCAAAAUUACAUUUCAACCCUUAAACUUUCUCAAAAUUUUACUUUAACCCCUAAAAUUUUAAGAAAUUACAUUUUGGCCCAUAUUUUUUCUAAAAUUGCACUUUUGCCCCAGAAGCUUUGCAUCCUAUGCAAUUUGGACCUCCUGGACUUGUCAAAUCACCGCAAUAGCAGCCAAGCGUACCCCUCCCCAGCCAAGCUACUCCAGCAGCCUCCCUAGGCCAUGAUGCCCUCCUCUGCCACCUGCAAACAAGAAGAAAAUGACAAAAUUGGGGGGAUUAAAAAGGAGGAAAUUGAAGAGAAAUGGGGGGAUUUUUCGGCAGCAAAAAAAACAAAAAAACAGCAGAGAAAAUUAAAAAAAAGCAGCAAGCAAAGCCUCCACCAUCUUCCCGUAACCACCAUCGUCACACCGCCGUUGUGACUCCACCACCGCGUUGCUCCUAUACAAACAAGCCAAGAGAAAACAAAAAGCAACCCAAACAGUAAAGAGAUAGGGAAGAAAGAAAGGAAGGAAGGAAGAAAAUGAAAAAGGGAGAAAGAAAAGGGGAAGAGGGGAACCAUCCAUAGCCACCGAGGGUGGAGGAGACUGGCGCGAGUGACGGCAACGGCGCGGGGCUGGGUGUGACCCGAAGAAGAAGAAGGAAAAAAGAAAGAAAAAGAAGAAGAAAAAGAGAGAAAAAAGAAAGAGAAAAAAAGGAAAAAAAAAGAAAAGAAAAAUCAACAGUCGGGUCAACCCGACCCGACCACCCGACCCGACCCGGAUCCGACCCAAACUGCAGCAGCCUCCACCAGCAGUUCAACAGCAGACUGAAGUGGGCCCAAUAGCAGUGACGGCCCAAGCAGCAAAAACCAAAAAAAAACACAAAGCAAAGCAAAAAAAGAACCAGAAAAAAAAACAAUAGGUAGCAGGCCCAAUAGCAGUAACAGCCCAGCAGAAGAAGAGAAAAAGGAAGCAGGCCCACUUUUGCGCAGGCCCAGCGCAGGUCCAGCAGC
Molecule: long non-coding RNA, 1087 nt
Filed under: Gossypium raimondii (Peruvian cotton)
Lineage: Eukaryota; Viridiplantae; Streptophyta; Magnoliopsida; Malvales; Malvaceae
Description: long non-coding RNA (GRAI_LNC004761)
Source: RNAcentral